AUUGAAAGCUGGCGGCAGGCCUAACACCUGCCAGUCGAGCGGAGCGACGGACGGGUGAGUAAUGCCUAGGAAUCUGCCUGGUAGUGGGGGAUAACGUCCGGACACGGGCGCUCAUACCGCAUACUCUCAGAUGAGCCGCGGUCGGGUUAGCUAGUUGGUGGGGUAAGGGCCUACCAAGGCGCCGAUCCGUAACUGGUCUGAGAGGAUGAUCGUUCACACGGGAACUGAGACACGGUCCGGACUCCUACGGGAGGCAGCAGUGGGGAAUAUUGGACAAGGGGCGAAAGCCUGAGUCAGCCAAGCCGAGUGUGUGGAGAAGGUCUUAGGAGUGGAAAGCACUUUAAGUUGGGAGGCGUUACCAACAGAAUAAGCACCGGCUAACUUCGUGCCAGCAGCCGCGGUAAUAC
This 407-nucleotide ribosomal RNA is filed under the name uncultured bacterium. Its description in RNAcentral is "partial 16S ribosomal RNA". It matches the Rfam family "Bacterial small subunit ribosomal RNA", at positions 29 to 526 of the family's 1533-position model. The record is from RNAcentral.